UACGGAGGGUGCAAGCGUUGUUCGGAAUUACUGGGCGUAAAGGGCGCGUAGGCGGUUUCGCAAGUCAAGGGUGAAAUCCCGGAGCUUAACUCCGGAAUUGCUUUUGAUACUGUGAGGCUAGAGUGUAUUAGAGGAUGGCGGAAUUCCUAGUGUAGUGGUGAAAUACGUAGAUAUUAGGAAGAACACCGGUGGCGAAGGCGGCCAUCUGGGAUACAACUGACGCUGAGGCGCGAAAGCGUGGGGAUCAAACAGG
RNAcentral lists this ribosomal RNA (253 nucleotides) under uncultured bacterium. Its description in RNAcentral is "partial 16S ribosomal RNA". It matches the Rfam family "Bacterial small subunit ribosomal RNA", at positions 524 to 776 of the family's 1533-position model. The record is from RNAcentral.